AGAGUAGGAUCCUUGCUCAGGAUGAACGCUGGCGGCGUGCUUAACACAUGCAAGUCGAACGGGAAUUACUUUAUUGAAACUUCGGUCGAUAUGUUUUAAUUCUAGUGGCGGACGGGUGAGUAACGCGUGGGUAACCUGCCUUAUACAGGGGGAUAACAGUCAGAAAUGACUGCUAAUACCGCAUAAGCGCACAGAGCUGCAUGGCUCGGUGUGAAAAACUCCGGUGGUAUAAGAUGGACCCGCGUUGGAUUAGCUAGUUGGUGAGGUAACGGCCCACCAAGGCGACGAUCCAUAGCCGGCCUGAGAGGGUGAACGGCCACAUUGGGACUGAGACACGGCCCAGACUCCUACGGGAGGCAGCAGUGGGGAAUAUUGCACAAUGGGGGAAACCCUGAUGCAGCGACGCCGCGUGAAGGAAGAAGUAUCUCGGUAUGUAAACUUCUAUCAGCAGGGAAGAAUUAGGACGGUACCUGACUAAGGAGCCCCGGCUAACUACGUGCCAGCAGCCGCCGGUAAUACGUAGGGGGCAAGCGUUAUCCGGAUUUACUGGGUGUAAAGGGAGCGUAGACGGAUGGACAAGUCUGAUGUGAAAGGCUGGGGCUCAACCCCGGGACUGCAUUGGAAACUGCCCGUCUUGAGUGCCGGAGAGGUAAGCGGAAUUCCUAGUGUAGCGGUGAAAUGCGUAGAUAUUAGGAGGAACACCAGUGGCGAAGGCGGCUUACUGGACGGUAACUGACGUUGAGGCUCGAAAGCGUGGGGAGCAAACAAGAUUAGAUACCCUGGUAGUCCACGCGGUAAACGAUGAAAAAUGGGUGUCGGGUGACGAAGUCAUUCGGUGCCGCCGCAAACGCAUUAAGCAUUCCACCCUGGGGAGUGCGUUCGCAAGAAUGAAACUCAAAGGAAUAGACGGGGACCCGCUCAAGCGGUGGAGCAUGUGGUUUAAUUUGAAGCAACGCGAAGAACCUUACCAAGUCUUGACAUCCCUCUGACCGACUCUUAACCGAGUCUUUCUUUUGGGACAGAGGAGACAGGUGGUGCAUGGUUGUUGUCAGCUCGUGUCGUGAGAUGUUGGGUUAAGUUCCGCAACGAGCGCAACCCCUAUCCUCUAGUAGCCAGCAUUUAAGGUGGGCACUCUGGAGAGACUGCCAGGGAUAACCUGGAGGAAGGCGGGGAGGACGUCAAAUCAUCAUGCCCCCUAUGAUUUGGGGUACACACGUGCUACAAUGGCGUAAACAAAGGGAAGCGAACUUGCGAGGGUGGGCAAAUCCCAAAAAUAACGUCCCAGUUCGGACUGUAGUCUGCAACCCGCCUACACGAAGCUGGAAUCGCUAGUAAUCGCGGAUCAGAAUGCCGCG
This 1355-nucleotide ribosomal RNA is filed under the name uncultured bacterium. RNAcentral's name for it is "bacterial SSU rRNA". It matches the Rfam family "Bacterial small subunit ribosomal RNA", at positions 8 to 1361 of the family's 1533-position model. The record is from RNAcentral.